Halichondria panicea is the source of this 447-nucleotide long non-coding RNA. RefSeq lists it as uncharacterized. The transcript has 5 exons. The record is from RefSeq and is a predicted model, not a curated record. NCBI's taxonomy places the organism in Eukaryota, Metazoa, Porifera, Demospongiae, Suberitida, Halichondriidae.
GAAUUGGAAGCUGACUCCGCAUAGCGCAUGCUGAGGCUGGGCCGGCUGGACUGAACAUUAUGAGCUGAAUCAUGGUACAUGGUUUGGUCCUAUUUGCUCUUCAAAAGUGAUACUUGGAUGGCUGUUCUCCUGACAACAUGAAGCCUGAGGUCAAACUGCACUGUCCAUUCUUCUCACUCUGUCAGGCUGUGUUCUGUGUGUUUGUGUUCAGGCGUAAAGGCACUACUGGACUCACCAGAUGGAUUGAAAUUCUCGAGACAGCUCGAUUUUGAGAGAGUCAUCUCGUCUCAACACAACCCUCUCAAGGAGGUAGCCCUGAAGAACGUCCUGUAUCUGACCACAUACUGCCCCGCCCUCAGAGACGGUGUCUGGGAGCUCAUCUUCCCAUCAGACGCUCUCUAUCGAUUUGUGACCCCAGAGGUUAAAGUUCAGCAACAGGAGCAAGCC